UACGUAGGGGGCAAGCGUUGUCCGGAAUUACUGGGCGUAAAGAGCGUGUAGGCGGGUGAUUAAGUCAGAUGUGAAAACCCAAGGCUCAACCUUGGGAGUGCAUCUGAAACUGGUUACCUUGAGGACAGGAGAGGAAAGUGGAAUUCCUAGUGUAGCGGUGAAAUGCGUAGAUAUUAGGAGGAACACCAGUGGCGAAGGCGGCUUUCUGGCCUGUAACUGACGCUGAGACGCGAAAGCGUGGGGAG
Molecule: ribosomal RNA, 245 nt
Filed under: uncultured Bacillota bacterium
Lineage: Bacteria; Bacillati; Bacillota
Description: uncultured Firmicutes bacterium partial 16S ribosomal RNA
Rfam family: Bacterial small subunit ribosomal RNA
Source: RNAcentral